RNAcentral lists this ribosomal RNA (497 nucleotides) under uncultured bacterium. Its description in RNAcentral is "partial 16S ribosomal RNA". It matches the Rfam family "Bacterial small subunit ribosomal RNA", at positions 28 to 507 of the family's 1533-position model. The record is from RNAcentral.
GACGAACGCUGGCGGCGUGCCUAAUACAUGCAAGUUGAGCGCUGAAGGUUGGUACUUGUACCGACUGGAUGAGCAGCGAACGGGUGAGUAACGCGUGGGGAAUCUGCCUUUGAGCGGGGGACAACAUUUGGAAACGAAUGCUAAUACCGCAUAAAAACUUUAAACACAAGUUUUAAGUUUGAAAGAUUCAAUUGCAUCACUCAAGGAUGAUCCCGCGUUGUAUUAGCUAGUUGGUGAGGUAAAGGCUCACCAAGGCGAUGAUACAUAGCCGACCUGAGAGGGUGAUCGGCCACAUUGGGACUGAGACACGGCACAAACUCCUACGGGAGGCAGCAGUAGGGAAUCUUCGGCAAUGGACGAAAGUCUGACCGAGCAACGCCGCGUGAGUGAAGAAGGUUUUCGGAUCGUAAAACUCUGUUGGUAGAGAAGAACGUUGGUGAGAGUGGAAAGCUCAUCAAGUGACGGUAACUACCCAGAAAGGGACGGCUAACUACGUG